This 468-nucleotide ribosomal RNA is filed under the name uncultured bacterium. RNAcentral's name for it is "partial 16S ribosomal RNA". It matches the Rfam family "Bacterial small subunit ribosomal RNA", at positions 28 to 507 of the family's 1533-position model. The record is from RNAcentral.
GACGAACGCUGGCGGCGUGCUUAACACAUGCAAGUCGAACGGAAAGGCCCUGCUUUUGUGGGGUGCUCGAGUGGCGAACGGGUGAGUAACACGUGAGUAACCUGCCCUUGACUUUGGGAUAACUUCAGGAAACUGGGGCUAAUACCGGAUAGGAGCUCCUGCUGCAUGGUGGGGGUUGGAAAGUUUCGGCGGUUGGGGAUGGACUCGCGGCUUAUCAGCUUGUUGGUGGGGUAGUGGCUUACCAAGGCUUUGACGGGUAGCCGGCCUGAGAGGGUGACCGGCCAGAGUGGGAAUGAGAUAACGCCGGGCGGCCGACGGGGGGCGGCAGUGGGCGGGCGUGCUGACGGGCCGCGGGCCUGAUGCCGCUACCGCGCGUGCGGGAGGGCGGGCGUCGGUAAGGAGACAGGUUUCGCCGGCGACCAACCUGCAGGCAGGGUAAUGAGUAGAGCGGCACGCGCUAGUUUGGUC